AUGCUGAAAUCGCUGAAUUCCUCAGCGGAACGGCGCCAACUCAGCAGCGCGGUUUCCACACUUUCCCGGAGCGGGACUCCGCUCCCCGCGCCGGCUCACGGCCUUCCCGCCCUACAGGGUGUACAAGACGCGAGCCGACGUGUGCUGCGGGGCGCGGCAGAAGAGAAGCGCCAGAAGCCACACAGAAAAGCUUCAAUUCGACUGCCACCGAGAGCGCGAAGGGGCCACAAGCCAAUUUCCGCAAAGGAGACGAGCUGGGCGAGGCUCGGUCUGGCCCCCAACUUAAACCUGUCCGCAGCCUCAGCCAAGGGUCGCAUGUCCUGGGGGCGCUCUGUGGUAGCCACGGCCGCCCGGCUUCGCACCUUUGCGGCUUUGGUCCGAGCGCCCAGCCUCGGCCGCCGCGUGGGUUUUCCCGCUCUCGCCGAAGCGUGCCAUGCCCAUGCCCCAUUCCCUGGCCAGGCUCUACCCUGCACCAAUCCGAAAGGAGGCGGCACUCUGCCGGGCGGUGUGCGUACGUCCUGGAAACUCAACAGGAAACAGCAAAACGAUUGGAGAGCAACUCAGGAGGGACCAUUUAGUACUUCUGGAGUCCUGGGUGCAAGGUUGGGGCCUGAGCCUCGGGAGUUGUCACCACUAGGAGCCAAGGCAAGAGAUGAAAAGGUUGGUACUAGAACAGAAGGGGUAAAAGUAGCUACUUUGUGUGCACUUGCUCCAACAUCAUUGCCAAAGCACAGCUUCUCCAGUCAGGCAGGGCCCAAUUUCAGAGUUCUUUGCUGCCACAGCUACAGCCUCAUUUUGCUGCCAGGGCUCAGGCUUUGAGAUCUGAUGUGUGCAACUUCUCACCAUCACCUGUCACACAACCCCUCCCCAGAAACAUCACAGAAGUGGGGGUGGGGGUAUAUUUUCUUUUCCCUGGCAAAGUACAGGAGACAAAUGUUUCAGAUAUCCCAUUGACAAUAAUGUCUGUGUCACUUUACCAAGUUUGAGGCGCUCUACCAUGGGUCUUUCAUUCCUGGACCAUAAAGUGUCUGUAUGGCUUUUACAACUCCUCAUCUCUGUGCCUUUCUGUCACCCCACUUGCUUGAAACACUCUUUUUUUUUUUUUUUUUUUUUUUUUUUUUUUUGAGACGGAGUCUCACGCUGUUGCCCAGGCUGGAGUGCAGUGGCGCGAUCUCGGCUCACUGCAAGCUCCGCCUCCCGGGUUCCCGCCAUUCUCCUGCCUCAGCCUCCUGAGUAGCUGGGACUACAGGCGCCCGCCACCGCGCCCGGCUAAUUUUUUUGUAUUUUUAGUAGAGACGGGGUUUCACUGUGGUCUCGAUCUCCUGACCUUGUGAUCCACCCGCCUCGGCCUCCCAAAGUGCUGGGAUUACAGGCUUGAGCCACCGCGCCCGGCCGCUUGAAACACUCUUAUUAUUUCUCCCUCUCAUUUUAUAUCUAUGAAAGUCAUCCAUAAAUAAUAGCUCAUCCUGAAAUAAUUAUACUUAUUGAGUCCUUACUAUGUGCCAGACACUGUGCUAAGCAAUUUACAUGAAUUAUUUAAUCUUCACAGCAAACACAAUUUUACUAUCUCCAUUUUACAAAUGAGAAAAUCGAGUCACAAGGAAGUUAGGUAUGUGUCCUGAGGAUAGGGAUGAUAUCUUAUUUAUCUUGCAUUUGUGAGACACUGUGCAAAUAUAUUUGCAUCUUUCAGGCACUGGAAUAAAUAAGAAGACAAGUAAAAUUUGGCCUCUGCUCUCAAAAGCAAAAACAAACAAACAAAAAAGAUUAAACACGUAAAAUGCCACCCAUCUAUUGGCUGGAUCCCAAUGUCCAGAAUGAACUGCUCUUUUUCCGCUGUCAGAAAGCACGUUGGUUUCACCUGUAUUAACU
RNAcentral lists this long non-coding RNA (1869 nucleotides) under Macaca mulatta (Rhesus monkey). RNAcentral describes it as "lncRNA (ENSMMUG00000050332.1)". The record is from RNAcentral. Lineage: Eukaryota; Metazoa; Chordata; Mammalia; Primates; Cercopithecidae.